GAUGAACGCUAGCGGCAGGCUUAACACAUGCAAGUCGAGGGGUAGAAGGAGCUUGCUCCUUUGAGACCGGCGCACGGGUGCGUAACGCGUAUGCAAUCUACCUUUUGCAGAGGGAUAGCCCAGAGAAAUUUGGAUUAAUACCUCAUAGUAUGUGAGGAUGGCAUCAUUUUCACAUUAAAGUCACAACGGCAAAAGAUGAGCAUGCGUCCCAUUAGCUAGUUGGUAAGGUAACGGCUUACCAAGGCUACGAUGGGUAGGGGUCCUGAGAGGGAGAUCCCCCACACUGGUACUGAGACACGGACCAGACUCCUACGGGAGGCAGCAGUGAGGAAUAUUGGACAAUGGGCGCAAGCCUGAUCCAGCCAUGCCGCGUGCA
RNAcentral lists this ribosomal RNA (376 nucleotides) under uncultured bacterium. RNAcentral describes it as "bacterial SSU rRNA". It matches the Rfam family "Bacterial small subunit ribosomal RNA", at positions 28 to 405 of the family's 1533-position model. The record is from RNAcentral.